AGUGAAGACCGAGGAUGGGUACGAGGAAGUUGGGAGUGUAUCGGAGACUGUGACAGACCAGCUGAGUGAUGACAACGACCCUGGCUCCAUCCCUGUGUCGGACAUUCUGUCACCACCCUCCAUCACCAGCAAACCAAGCAAGCCCAAGAAGAGGAAGAGAUGAGGAAAAAGGAGACUGACAAGAUAGCUGAUAGAAAGAAAGCAUGGUUGAAGUGACAUGGACCAUAACACAGACAGCAGCGUCUCCAUCACCCCGAGCACGGAGUCGGACAUCAGUGUGGUGCUUCAUCAGCUCGGAUACAGGACAUGGAUGUGUCAGUGGGUGUACAGGGUUAUCUCCCUUGUGUCACUGACCACCUGAGGAAUGAAUUGAUGGCGGCGACUGUGUGUGUCAGGACAACAUGAAGUGUGACAGAUAUGUGUUGACAUUGAAGUGAAAGGUUCCAUUGGAAGGAUAUUGAUCAUUUCCACAGACUUCUGGAAAGUAGAACUUUGGCCUAGAUUGAUAUAUAUUUAUAUAUAAAGAGGUGUUUGAGAGCAUGAAACUGUAUGUGAAAACUGUAUGUGAAUAAGAAAAGUUUGAUACGUUUUUGUCUGUGAGAAAAGUUUGCCAGGACGAGAAUACCAUGAUCAAAAUAUAAGCCAUGAUAGACUACUCAGAGUCUGGUAUCGAGGCAAUGCUGAUACCAUGGUUACUGGUCAGCACUUUUGAUAUAAGAAAGUGUGAGUGAGUUUAUGUAGGUUCGGUCUGCUCAAUGAACAAAAUAUUAACUUAAGAAAAGAUACGGAUCUGCCCUUGUGAGCGGACUGACUGUUUCACAAAACCUCCUUCAGAAAAAAAAACAAAGUUAUCAUCGUCAUUGCCCAUCUCGCCAUGUUAUUGCAUCUGUUCUGUUUCCAUCAAGUAUCCUAUGCAUAGCAAUAACAAAGUAACAAUACUAUAAAAGUCAAAAUAUGCAGACAAAACGAAGGGAGGUAACUCGAUUUUUCAUUAACUACAUUUUGUUGUAUGCAGCAACUGCUAUUAAACAGGUACCAGCCAUUA
Haliotis rufescens (red abalone) is the source of this 1045-nucleotide long non-coding RNA. RefSeq lists it as uncharacterized. The transcript has 2 exons. The record is from RefSeq and is a predicted model, not a curated record. Lineage: Eukaryota; Metazoa; Mollusca; Gastropoda; Lepetellida; Haliotidae.